RNAcentral lists this ribosomal RNA (456 nucleotides) under Salmonella enterica subsp. enterica serovar Heidelberg. RNAcentral describes it as "partial 23S ribosomal RNA". It matches the Rfam family "Bacterial large subunit ribosomal RNA", at positions 64 to 559 of the family's 2925-position model. Lineage: Bacteria; Pseudomonadati; Pseudomonadota; Gammaproteobacteria; Enterobacterales; Enterobacteriaceae. RNAcentral also lists the same sequence under 7 other names. The record is from RNAcentral.
AUCUGCGAUAAGCGCCGGUAAGGUGAUAUGAACCGUUAUAACCGGCGAUACCCGAAUGGGGAAACCCAGUGUGACUCGUCACACUAUCAUUAACUGAAUCCAUAGGUUAAUGAGGCGAACCGGGGGAACUGAAACAUCUAAGUACCCCGAGGAAAAGAAAUCAACCGAGAUUCCCCCAGUAGCGGCGAGCGAACGGGGAGGAGCCCAGAGCCUGAAUCAGCAUGUGUGUUAGUGGAAGCGUCUGGAAAGGCGCGCGAUACAGGGUGACAGCCCCGUACACAAAAGCGCAUGUGCUGUGAGCUCGAUGAGUAGGGCGGGACACGUGGUAUCCUGUCUGAAUAUGGGGGGACCAUCCUCCAAGGCUAAAUACUCCUGACUGACCGAUAGUGAACCAGUACCGUGAGGGAAAGGCGAAAAGAACCCCGGCGAGGGGAGUGAAAAAGAACCUGAAACCGU